GACGAACGCUGGCGGCGUGCUUAACACAUGCAAGUCGAACGGAAAGGCCCUGCUUUUGUGGGGUGCUCGAGUGGCGAACGGGUGAGUAACACGUGAGUAACCUGUCCUUGACUUUGGGAUAACUUCAGGAAACUGGGGCUAUUACCGCAUAGGAGCUCUUGCUGCAUGGUGGUGGUUGGUAAGUUUCGGCGUUUGGGGAUGGACUCGCGGCUUAGCAGCUUGUUGGUGGGGUAGUGGCUUACCAAGGCUUUGACGGGUAGCCCGCCUGGGAGGGUGACCGGCCACAUUGGGACUGAGAUAGGGCCCAGAAUCCUACGGGCGGCAGCAGUGGGGAAUAUUGCACAAUGGGCGGAAGCCGGAUGCAGCAACGCCGCGUGCGGAAUGACGGCCUUCGGGUUGUAAACCGCUUUCGCCUGUGCCGAAGAGUGAGUGACGGUAAUGGGUAAAAAAGCACCGGCUAACUACGUG
RNAcentral lists this ribosomal RNA (468 nucleotides) under uncultured bacterium. Its description in RNAcentral is "partial 16S ribosomal RNA". It matches the Rfam family "Bacterial small subunit ribosomal RNA", at positions 28 to 507 of the family's 1533-position model. The record is from RNAcentral.